RNAcentral lists this long non-coding RNA (256 nucleotides) under Lathyrus oleraceus (garden pea). RNAcentral's name for it is "Pisum sativum (pea) long non-coding RNA (PSAT_LNC030646)". Lineage: Eukaryota; Viridiplantae; Streptophyta; Magnoliopsida; Fabales; Fabaceae. The record is from RNAcentral.
GCGACUCUGCUGGGGAGACUUGCUCCAAGCAAGAGAGAGUCUAGCCUAACUUAGUCUGAUUUUACUAUGACUGUUGGAAGAUAUUCUUUCUUUCCAUGUUUAUUUCUGUGUAUUUUAUUCUAAUUACUUGUGUUGUAUUGUAUGUCUUGAUACUUUGAUAUGGGACUUGAUGUAUGCUGUGAGAUAAGCUCCAUACCCGAGCUUCGAGAAAAAACUUAGAACCCAGAGUUGUGUAGUAUUGAACCUGGGGGUGUAC